This is a long non-coding RNA of Mauremys reevesii (Reeves's turtle), 444 nucleotides long. RefSeq lists it as uncharacterized. Lineage: Eukaryota; Metazoa; Chordata; Testudines; Geoemydidae. The record is from RefSeq and is a predicted model, not a curated record. The transcript is spliced from 3 exons.
AUUAUAUUACAGUAUUUAAGAAAAGUCAAGGGUUUUAUAACCUUACAAAAGUCAGGAAAUUCUACGUGAAGGCUGAGAUGAUUUUGCCUUGACUCAUUUCAUUAGAGAAAAGGAAAGUCACAACAGUGGGAGGACUUCAGUGCCACAGAACAACUGGUAGUGCUUAGUGAUAUGCAUUGGUAUUUCUGUCUUUUGGGAAUUUCAGUAGAUUUCCUCAUCUUGGCAAGUGGAUAUCCCAAGAGUGCACUCUGCCCUAUCACAUCAGAACUUGCAACAACACCAGCAGAAAAUGAUGUAAAUACAGGUUGUUAGGAACUGUUUACAUUAAUUAUGCUAAUCAAGAUGGUAGGGAUUGGGGGCUGCAGAUAAAGAGGAACCUGCAUUUUCCAGAAUGGUGAGAAAUUUUAAAUGAACAUCUAUUAUUUUGCUUGCAGCAUAUCAGCA